UAAACCUCCUGACAACCAACUGUGGCCCUUUCCAGAAUCCUUGCCUCCCGAGAGCUCAAGUAGGUCAAGCCUUUUCUCAGAAAGCCGUCUUUCUACAAUGCUGUAUGGAUCCCAUCACAUCCCACUUCAAAGCUGGCAGCGGCCCUUGUCUUUAGAGGUUCUUUUGGAUACUGGGGUGACAGAUGACCAGGGUGCUGGAAAAGUUCGUGGAUCAGCCCUCAGUGGGACAUGGCAGAGGCAGGUUAUUGAUUGGCCAUGUGUGUCUUGUCAGCUGUCCAGGGUCCUGGAUGUCUGCUGAGGGUCCAGGCACUGGGAUAUUGAUCUUGAGCAGUACUCCUGCCCCGUGGAGGCCCAUCACCCCCGUCGUAAAGCUGCUGUGGAUUUCCUUUUGCAAACGGCAUUGCCAGGUGGUUUUAGGAGACGCGCUCUGCAGAUGUCGGGGUGAGAGAAGAGCACUAACAUGGGUAAGUUCAAGGUUCCGGCCACUCCGACCCCCAGGCAGCCCAGUUCGGUUUCUAACUCCCAUGAGGACAUGCCGGAAGAUCCCGGGAAGACAAACCCUCUCUGUACGACUCUUGUGACUCACAAUAUUUCCCUGUGAUGUGCCCCCCCAACCAAGAACAGCCAUUUUCACGUAUCAUUUUAUUUUUAAUUAGCAUACAAAGUGACAGGUUUCCUCAAAGCAUUUCAUACGUAUGUUAGGGUCUCCCCCACCUGGUCCUCUCUGCUUGUACCCUGUGCCCCACCCUUCUUCCUGACCACUUUCUCAUCACUUGUGAAUAAUAGUAAUUGUUUAAAUCAUUAUUUUUUAGUUUUUGAGAUUAUAAUAUAAUUGCAUCACGAUACCUUGAUACUCUUGACAACUUGACUUUUCCCAGUUUUCUAUCUUGUUUAUG
This is a long non-coding RNA of Peromyscus maniculatus bairdii (prairie deer mouse), 896 nucleotides long. RefSeq lists it as uncharacterized. The record is from RefSeq and is a predicted model, not a curated record. Lineage: Eukaryota; Metazoa; Chordata; Mammalia; Rodentia; Cricetidae.